ACUCCUACGGGAGGCAGCAGUGGGGAAUCUUGCGCAAUGGGCGAAAGCCUGACGCAGCGACGCCGCGUGGGGGACGAAGGCCUUCGGGUUGUAAACCCCUGUCGGGCGGAACGAAUCCCCCAAGGACGAAUACUCCUUGGGGUUGACGGUACCGCCGGAGGAAGCCCCGGCUAACUACGUGCCAGCAGCCGCGGUAAU
This 198-nucleotide ribosomal RNA is filed under the name uncultured low G+C Gram-positive bacterium. RNAcentral's name for it is "partial 16S ribosomal RNA". It matches the Rfam family "Bacterial small subunit ribosomal RNA", at positions 335 to 524 of the family's 1533-position model. Lineage: Bacteria; Bacillati; Bacillota. The record is from RNAcentral.